UUAAGGUGUUUAGGAAGUUUGAGGAAGUGGGAUAAUACGAAAUUCCAUAAUGUGCAAAGCAAUGUAGAGAACAAGACACAUAAAAGAAGACAGCAGAUUAUUUUUGCAUUGAUGAAGUCAUGAGUUCUUCCCUGGACCUUCCAUAUCUCCUUUGAUCAAGCUUCCUAGACCUCUCCCCUGAAAUGUGGCAUCUGAUCUGGUCAAAGAUACAUAAACUCCCUGUCACUCUCAGAGCUCUUCCCAGCUAUGCAGCUGCCUGUCAAGGAAUACACGACCCACGGCAAGUAUCUUCUAAGUGCACUGGAAACUGCACCAGACCCCAGAAGACAAACGCAGGUUACAAGUGCAACAUGCUUAGAGGAUGCCAGGCUUCUUCCUGUCGAGCUGAGAUGGUCUGAAAACCACAUUGAAACAUGGGAAAUUGCAGCUACCACAGAUGGCAGAUGAGGGGGUUUUUGCAGGCUGUAGAUCUCUCCUGCCGCUCCCCUCGUGGCUGGUAACAGUUGGACGAAGGUAAUGGACGGAGGCUGGCAAAGCCAAGAGUCAGUGUGCUGUUGUGAGACUGGGAUGAAUGGACUUUGACAAUACUGCUGAAUAGGAAUACUUGUGGAGCUAAUACAAACAAUUUGUAAUUGUCAGAGCUGAAAAGUAAAAACAUGAUUAUAAACUGUGCAUAGGAUCAGCUUAUGUCAGCUUUAAAUGAUUUAAAAGUCUAGUGUCUGGAGCUGCAUCUUACUUGCCUGCAAAACUCCUUAAAGAAGACUUACAUAACCAUACAAGCAUGUCUCUCCCUUCUUGUGUAUUUAUUGUGAAAACUAACCCUUUGUCUAGCUGACAGAAGACGUAUUUUUAGGACAGAUGUGAAACAAAGCCUUCUGGAUACAUCAGAAGAUAGGGAUUUUCUUGAUUUAAAUAGAAGAGACACUUGCUUGGUCACAGUAACUCUUUCAGAAAGUGCUGGUUAUCCUUGUUUUAUGCAGGAAGAGGCUCUGAAUAACUAGAUGCUAAUGCAGCCUACAGCACCUUGGUCAGCUGGUGCCUUUCUGCUGUGCCAGGCUUGGAAGCUCUUUCUGGGUGGAAGCGGUGCAAGUUUGUAAAAGAUGCAAACUUUCCUGAGACAAGGGAAGGAGCAUAAGAAAGCCUUUUCUGUUACCUAGAGCCUACCGUCAUUAUGCCUGACCUGAACUCAUUAUCCCUUGGUAUCUGCAGCAGACGGUGACCUUUGAUGGCACUGAACCACAGUAUGUGAGGAGAUGCGUUCCUGGUAAUUUUGUCUCCCGAGUGCCAAAUGUGGAAGCUUCCUCACUCCACGUCCAGGCUUCCUCUACACCAACACAUGCACAAAAAUUAAAAUGCUACUAAAUACUACUCAGCAACACUGUUUAGGUGCUAGGUUGC
RNAcentral lists this long non-coding RNA (1398 nucleotides) under Anser brachyrhynchus (Pink-footed goose). Its description in RNAcentral is "lncRNA (ENSABRG00000002651.1)". Lineage: Eukaryota; Metazoa; Chordata; Aves; Anseriformes; Anatidae. The record is from RNAcentral.